Molecule: long non-coding RNA, 578 nt
Filed under: Ursus maritimus (polar bear)
Lineage: Eukaryota; Metazoa; Chordata; Mammalia; Carnivora; Ursidae
Description: lncRNA (ENSUMAG00000015142.1)
Source: RNAcentral
GUCAGGCCGAUGGUGUGGACUUCACAGACCACGUCUCUUCCUGUGGAUUCCCACAGCUCACCUGUGGCCCGGUGAACUCUUACGUGCUACCCGAUGUAGAAAACAGCAGAAUGAGGAUGCUGAGGUGGGGACCGGGAGGGAGCCCCAGAAGGGGUUCCCUCUGGAAAGCCACACAUCUAGCAUCUCGCAGCUCGGAGCUCGCUUCGAAGCACACUGCCGUUCGUCUGUGUAUGUGUCGUUCGCUUCUCCCCGACAGCACGACAGCUCCCCGAGGGCCGUGUCGGUGGUCAAGCCGCGGUGCCAAGUCAAGGUCCAGAACCUGGACCCCAGACCAGGAACCUCAGCCUCCACGGAGCUUCCCUUCUCCCACUUGUGGACGCCUGGACUUGGCCCAUCUUCAUCGCCUGCACGCCUUUAUGGCAGGUGGGGAAGGAGGCCCGCAUGUACAACUUAAGAAAAGCAACAACAACAACCACCACCAAACAAAGAACAGCACACAUGAGAACUCAUUUUUGUUGUGGAAAAAUGGAAUGUUCAGAUGAACAGGAAGAAGACAAUAAAAUUUUCUCUCAAUUUCA